CUCUUGUCUAACGAAUUAUCCUCCUACAGAUCCAAAAUCAAUAUUAAAAUAAAAUCUAUGGUGUAAGGACUAUCUAUCUAGAACCCUCUAUCGGGUUCACUAUAAUCCAUCGACAAGUCCCUCAAAUUUUUCAUCUAAAAUUUUCUUAAUCCAUAUAAGAUAGAGAGAAAGUAAAUAAAUAAAUGAUUAAAUAAUUAAUUAAUCAAUUAAUCGAACAACUAGAGAAGAGAGAGAGAUCCUCCUCUCUCUUCUUCUCUUUUUCUCCAAAAUAGGGGACACCC
This 281-nucleotide long non-coding RNA is filed under the name Elaeis guineensis (African oil palm). RNAcentral describes it as "long non-coding RNA (EGUI_LNC029350)". Lineage: Eukaryota; Viridiplantae; Streptophyta; Magnoliopsida; Arecales; Arecaceae. The record is from RNAcentral.